Molecule: ribosomal RNA, 492 nt
Filed under: uncultured bacterium
Lineage: Bacteria
Description: partial 16S ribosomal RNA
Rfam family: Bacterial small subunit ribosomal RNA
Source: RNAcentral
AGUGAACGCUGGCGGUAGGCCUAACACAUGCCAGUCGAACGGCAGCACAGUAAGAGCUUGCUCUUACGGGUGGCGAGUGGCGGACGGGUGAGGAAUACAUCGGAAUCUACUUUUUCGUGGGGGAUAACGUAGGGAAACUUACGCUAAUACCGCAUACGACCUACGGGUGAAAGCAGGGGAUCUUCGGACCUUGCGCGAUUGAAUGAGCCGAUGUCGGAUUAGCUAGUGGGCGGGGUAAAGGCCCACCAAGGCGACGAGCCGUAGCUGGUCUGAGAGGAUGAUCAGCCACACUGGAACUGAGACACGGUCCAGACUCCUACGGGAGGCAGCAGUGGGGAAUAUUGGACAAUGGGCGCAAGCCUGAUCCAGCCAUACCGCGUGGGUGAAGAAGGCCUUCGGGUUGUAAAGCCCUUUUGUUGGGAAAGAAAAGCAGCAGGUUAAUACCCCGCUGUUCUGACGGUACCCAAAGAAUAAGCACCGGCUAACUUCGUG